UUGCACGCGGCCUAUCAGCUUGUUGGUGAGGUAACGGCUCACCAAGGCGUCGACGGGUAGCCGGCCUGAGAGGGUGACCGGCCACACUGGGACUGAGACACGGCCCAGACUCCUACGGGAGGCAGCAGUGGGGAAUAUUGCACAAUGGGCGAAAGCCUGAUGCAGCAACGCCGCGUGAGGGACGACGGCCUUCGGGUUGUAAACCUCUUUUAGCAGGAAAGAAGCGAAAGUGACGGUACCUGCAGAAAAAGCGCCGGCUAACUACGUGCCAGCAGCCGCGGUAAUACGUAGGGCGCAAGCGUUAUCCGGAAUUAUUGGGCGUAAAGAGCUCGUAGGCGGUCUGUCGCGUCUGCUGUGAAAACCCGAGGCUCAACCUCGGGCCUGCAGUGGGUACGGGCAGACUAGAGUGCGGUAGGGGAGAUUGGAAUUCCUGGUGUAGCGGUGGAAUGCGCAGAUAUCAGGAGGAACACCGAUGGCGAAGGCAGAUCUCUGGGCCGUAACUGACGCUGAGGAGCGAAAGGGUGGGGAGCAAACAGGCUUAGAUACCCUGGUAGUCCACCCCGUAAACGUUGGGAACUAGUUGUGGGGUCCAUUCCACGGAUUCCGUGACGCAGCUAACGCAUUAGGUUCCCCGCCUGGGGAGUACGGGC
RNAcentral lists this ribosomal RNA (650 nucleotides) under Microbacterium schleiferi. RNAcentral describes it as "bacterial SSU rRNA". It matches the Rfam family "Bacterial small subunit ribosomal RNA", at positions 227 to 887 of the family's 1533-position model. The record is from RNAcentral. Lineage: Bacteria; Bacillati; Actinomycetota; Actinomycetes; Micrococcales; Microbacteriaceae.